UCAAACUUGGUCAUUUAGAGGAAGUAAAAGUCGUAACAAGGUCUCCGUUGGUGAACCAGCGGAGGGAUCAUUACCGAGUGAAAACUCCCAACCCCAUGUGAACAUACCUUUUGUUGCUUCGGCGGGCUCGCCCCGGGCGCCUCUGGUGCCCCGGACCCAGGCGCCCGCCGGAGGACCUAAACUAUUGUCUUUAGUGGAAUUUUCUGAGUGGCUCUUGAGCAAAUAAAUCAAAACUUUCAACAAUGGAUCUCUUGGUUCUGGCAUCGAUGAAGAACGCAGC
This 280-nucleotide unclassified non-coding RNA is filed under the name uncultured fungus. RNAcentral describes it as "partial contains small subunit ribosomal RNA, internal transcribed spacer 1, and 5.8S ribosomal RNA". The stretch from base 1 to 73 matches the Rfam family "Eukaryotic small subunit ribosomal RNA", at positions 1759 to 1831 of the family's 1831-position model. The record is from RNAcentral. Lineage: Eukaryota; Fungi.